UCCAGCAGAUAUAUCACCCUGUAACUCACACCUGGCAGCCCACUGAAGCUCAGCAAGUGUGGGUCUAGCCAGUACCUGGGUGGGAGACCUCCUGGGAAAGCUAAGGUUGCUGCUGGAA
Lepisosteus oculatus (spotted gar) is the source of this 118-nucleotide ribosomal RNA. The record is from Rfam. Lineage: Eukaryota; Metazoa; Chordata; Actinopteri; Semionotiformes; Lepisosteidae.